GGUUGGUCUGAGUGCAGUGGUGUUUACAAUUAAUUGAUCACAACCAGUUACAGAUUCCUUUGUUCCUCCUCCACUCCCACUGCUCCACUUGACCAGCCUUAA
This 102-nucleotide Y RNA is filed under the name Propithecus coquereli (Coquerel's sifaka). RNAcentral describes it as "Y RNA (ENSPCOG00000001957.1)". It matches the Rfam family "Y RNA". From Rfam's summary of the family: Y RNAs are components of the Ro ribonucleoprotein particle (Ro RNP), in association with Ro60 and La proteins. The Y RNAs and Ro60 and La proteins are well conserved, but the function of the Ro RNP is not known. The record is from Rfam by way of RNAcentral. Lineage: Eukaryota; Metazoa; Chordata; Mammalia; Primates; Indriidae.